Molecule: ribosomal RNA, 467 nt
Filed under: uncultured bacterium
Lineage: Bacteria
Description: partial 16S ribosomal RNA
Rfam family: Bacterial small subunit ribosomal RNA
Source: RNAcentral
GACGAACGCUGGCGGCGUGCUUAACACAUGCAAGUCGAACGGAAAGGCCCUGCUUUUGUGGGGUGCUCGAGUGGCGAACGGGUGAGUAACACGUGAGUAACCUGCCCUUGACUUUGGGAUAACUUCAGGAAACUGGGGCUAAUACCGGAUAGGAGCUCCUGCUGCAUGGUGGGGGUUGGAAAGUUUCGGCGGUUGGGGAUGGACUCGCGGCUUAUCAUCUUGUUGGUGGGGUAGUGGCUUACCAAGGCUUUGACGGGUAGCCGGCCUGAGAGGGUGACCGGCCACAUUGGGACUGAGAUACGGCCCAGACUCCUACGGGAGGCAGCAGUGGGGAAUAUUGCACAAUGGGCGGAAGCCUGAUGCAGCAACGCCGCGUGCGGGAUGACGGCCUUCGGGUUGUAAACCGCUUUCGCCUGUGACGAAGCGUGAGUGACGGUAAUGGGUAAAGAAGCACCGGCUAACUACGU